UUAGAAAUGACUGCUAAUACCGGAUGAUGUCGUAAGACCAAGAUUUAUCGGCAAAGGAUGAGCCCGCGUAGGAUUAGGUAGUUGUGGGUAAAGGCCUACCAAGCCGACGAUCCUUAGCUGGUCUGAGAGGAUGAUCAGCCACACUGGGACUGAGACACGGCCCAGACUCCUACGGGAGGCAGCAGUGGGGAAUAUUGGACAAUGGGCGAAAGCCUGAUCCAGCAAUGCCGCGUGAGUGAUGAAGGCCUUCGGGUUGUAAAGCUCUUUUACCAGGGAUGAUAAUGACAGUACCUGGAGAAUAAGCUCCGGCUAACUCCGUG
RNAcentral lists this ribosomal RNA (320 nucleotides) under uncultured bacterium. Its description in RNAcentral is "bacterial SSU rRNA". It matches the Rfam family "Bacterial small subunit ribosomal RNA", at positions 150 to 507 of the family's 1533-position model. The record is from RNAcentral.